CAGUCGAACGGGGUUUAUAUGACGGAACUCUCCGGAGGGAAGAUAUAUAAACCUAGUGGCGGACGGGUGAGUAACGCGUGGGCAACCUGCCCUGUACCGGGGGACAACAGCCAGAAAUGGCUGCUAAUACCGCAUAAGCCUGCUGUGCCGCAUGGCACAGCAGGGAAAACCACGGUGGUACAGGAUGGGCCCGCGUCUGAUUAGUUAGUUGGCAGGGUAACGGCCUACCAAGACAACGAUCAGUAGCCGGCUUGAGAGAGUGGACGGCCACAUUGGGACUGAGACACGGCCCAGACUCCUGCGGGAGGCAGCAGUGGGGAAUAUUGCACAAUGGGGGGAACCCUGAUGCAGCAAUGCCGCGUGGGUGAAGAAGCACUCCGGUGCGUAAAGCCCUGUCAGCAGGGAAGAAAAUGACAGUACCUGGACAAGAAGCCCCGGCUAACUACGUGCCAGCAGCCGCGGUAAUACGUAGGGGGCAAGCGUUAUCCGGAUUUACUGGGUGUAAAGGGAGCGCAGGCGGCGUGGCAAGUCAGAUGUGAAAACCCGGGGCCCAACCCCGGGAGUGCAUUUGAAACUGCCAUGCUGGAGUGCCGGAGAGGUAAGCGGAAUUCCUAGUGUAGCGGUGAAAUGCGUAGAUAUUAGGAGGAACACCAGUGGCGGAGGCGGCUUACUGGACGGUAACUGACGCUGAGGCUCGAAAGCGUGGGGAGCAAACAGGAUUAGAUACCCUGGUAGUCCACGCUGUAAACGAUGAAUACUAGGUACAGGGGCACAAAAGUGCUUCUGUGCCGCAGCUAACGCAAUAAGUAUUCCACCUGGGGAGUACGUUCGCA
This 833-nucleotide ribosomal RNA is filed under the name uncultured bacterium. RNAcentral describes it as "bacterial SSU rRNA". It matches the Rfam family "Bacterial small subunit ribosomal RNA", at positions 59 to 890 of the family's 1533-position model. The record is from RNAcentral.